GGCUUAGAGUUUGAUCAUGGCUCAGGAUGAACGCUAGCGACAGGCUUAACACAUGCAAGUCGAGGGGCAGCACGGUGUAGCAAUACACUGGUGGCGACCGGCGCACGGGUGAGUAACACGUGUGCAACCAACCCCGUACCGGGAGAUAACCCGCGGAAACGUGGACUAACAUCCCAUAACACUGGAGGAUCGCAUGAUCUUUCAUUUAAAAUUCCGGUGGUACGGGACGGGCACGCGCGACAUUAGGUAGUUGGCGGGGUAAGGGCCCACCAAGCCGACGAUGUCUAGGGGUUCUGAGAGGAAGGUCCCCCACACUGGAACUGAGACACGGUCCAGACUCCUACGGGAGGCAGCAGUGAGGAAUAUUGGUCAAUGGGCGAGAGCCUGAACCAGCCAAGUCGCGUGAGGGAAGAAUGGUCUAUGGCCUGUAAACCUCUUUUGCCAGGGAAGAAUAAAAGGUACGUGUACCUUCUUGCCAGUACCUGACGAAUAAGCAUCGGCUAACUCCGUGCCAGCAGCCGCGGUAAUACGGGGGAUGCGAGCGUUAUCCGGAUUUAUUGGGUUUAAAGGGCGCGUAGGCGGGACGCCAAGUCAGCGGUAAAAGACAGCAGCUAAACUGUAGCACGCCGUUGAAACUGGCGACCUCGAGACGAGACGAGGGAGGCGGAACAAGUGAAGUAGCGGUGAAAUGCUUAGAUAUCACUUGGAACCCCGAUAGCGAAGGCAGCUUCCAGGCUCGCUCUGACGCUGAUGCGCGAGAGCGUGGGUAGCGAACAGGAUUAGAUACCCUGGUAGUCCACGCCGUAAACGAUGCUCACUGGAUCUUGGCGAUACACAGCCAGGGUUCAAGCGAAAGUAUUAAGUGAGCCAC
Molecule: ribosomal RNA, 871 nt
Filed under: uncultured organism
Description: bacterial SSU rRNA
Rfam family: Bacterial small subunit ribosomal RNA
Source: RNAcentral